UACGAAGGGGGCUAGCGUUGUUCGGAAUUACUGGGCGUAAAGCGCACGUAGGCGGACAUUUAAGUCAGGGGUGAAAUCCCGGGGCUCAACCCCGGAACUGCCUUUGAUACUGGGUGUCUAGAGUCCGGAAGAGGUGAGUGGAAUUCCGAGUGUAGAGGUGAAAUUCGUAGAUAUUCGGAGGAACACCAGUGGCGAAGGCGGCUCACUGGUCCGGUACUGACGCUGAGGUGCGAAAGCUAGGGGAGAGAACGGG
This 253-nucleotide unclassified non-coding RNA is filed under the name uncultured Alphaproteobacteria bacterium. Its description in RNAcentral is "contains 16S-23S intergenic spacer region". It matches the Rfam family "Bacterial small subunit ribosomal RNA", at positions 524 to 776 of the family's 1533-position model. The record is from RNAcentral. Lineage: Bacteria; Pseudomonadati; Pseudomonadota; Alphaproteobacteria.